This is a small nuclear RNA of Pan paniscus (pygmy chimpanzee), 176 nucleotides long. Its record names the gene U1. It matches the Rfam family "U1 spliceosomal RNA". From Rfam's summary of the family: U1 is a small nuclear RNA (snRNA) component of the spliceosome (involved in pre-mRNA splicing). Its 5' end forms complementary base pairs with the 5' splice junction, thus defining the 5' donor site of an intron. There are significant differences in sequence and secondary structure between metazoan and yeast U1 snRNAs, the latter being much longer (568 nucleotides as compared to 164 nucleotides in human). NCBI's taxonomy places the organism in Eukaryota, Metazoa, Chordata, Mammalia, Primates, Hominidae. The record is from Ensembl.
AUACUUACCUGGCAGGGGAAAUGCCAUGAUUGGAAGGAGGUUUUCUCAGGGCAAGGCUCAUGUAUUGCUCUCCCGAUGUGCUGACCCCUGCGAUUUUCUCCAAUGUGGGAAACUCGAUUGUGUAAUUUAUGAUGGUCAGAGACUGGGAAGGUGGAAAGAACCUGGAUCUCCACUGA